Molecule: ribosomal RNA, 447 nt
Filed under: uncultured bacterium
Lineage: Bacteria
Description: partial 16S ribosomal RNA
Rfam family: Bacterial small subunit ribosomal RNA
Source: RNAcentral
AACGAACGCUGGCGGCAGGCUUAACACAUGCAAGUCGAGCGCCCCGCAAGGGGAGCGGCAGACGGGUGAGUAACGCGUGGGAAUCUACCCAUCCCUACGGAAUAGCUCCGGGAAACUGGAAUUAAUACCGUAUACGCCCUCAGGGGGAAAGAUUUAUCGGGGAUGGAUGAGCCAGCGUGGGAUUAGCUAGUUGGUGGGUUAAAGGCCUACCAAGGCGACGAUCCAUAGCUGGACUGAGAGGAUGAUCCGCCACAUUGGGACUGAGACACGGCCCAAACUCCUACGGGAGGCAGCAGUGGGGAAUAUUGGACAAUGGGGGCAACCCUGAUCCAGCCAUGCCGCGUGAGUGAUGAAGGCCUUAGGGUUGUAAAGCUCUUUCACCGGGGAAGAUAAUGACGGUACCCGGAGAAGAAGCCCCGGCUAACUUCGUGCCAGCAGCCGCCGUAA